RNAcentral lists this transfer RNA (73 nucleotides) under Bos taurus (domestic cattle). It matches the Rfam family "tRNA". Rfam says of the family: Transfer RNA (tRNA) molecules are approximately 80 nucleotides in length. Their secondary structure includes four short double-helical elements and three loops (D, anti-codon, and T loops). Further hydrogen bonds mediate the characteristic L-shaped molecular structure. tRNAs have two regions of fundamental functional importance: the anti-codon, which is responsible for specific mRNA codon recognition, and the 3' end, to which the tRNAs corresponding amino acid is attached (by aminoacyl-tRNA synthetases). tRNAs cope with the degeneracy of the genetic code in two manners: having more than one tRNA (with a specific anti-codon) for a particular amino acid; and 'wobble' base-pairing, i.e. permitting non-standard base-pairing at the 3rd anti-codon position. Lineage: Eukaryota; Metazoa; Chordata; Mammalia; Artiodactyla; Bovidae. The record is from Rfam by way of RNAcentral.
UCCCUGGUGGUCUAGUGGCUAAGACUCCACGCUCCCAUUGAAAGGGGCCCAGGUUUGAUUCCUAGUCAGGGAA